Molecule: long non-coding RNA, 230 nt
Organism: Austrofundulus limnaeus
Lineage: Eukaryota; Metazoa; Chordata; Actinopteri; Cyprinodontiformes; Rivulidae
Exons: 3
Source: RefSeq, a predicted model, not a curated record
AUUUUAUUUCAGAUACCUGUACACAGAAUGGAUGCAGUUAUUGGAUCAUCCAUCUUUCAUCAUGGCCAGUACAGGGCUGUUCGAAAGAUGCCAUUACCCAAGGCUUCCAUUUGGAUGUGUCCUGUAAAUGUGGGAGGUCACUGGAUUAUAGUGAAACUUCCUGAAAGCAAAAGAUGCCAGCCCCAGUCAGUGGAGUGUCAGCACACUGCCACAUGGACUGCAGCAGGAUU